GACAAUGUGGCAUAGUGGUGUGAGCAUUGGAUGAUGACUCCGGAGACCAGGCUUCGAUUCCCAGCCCAGCCA
Molecule: non-coding RNA, 72 nt
Organism: Phrynosoma platyrhinos (Desert horned lizard)
Lineage: Eukaryota; Metazoa; Chordata; Lepidosauria; Squamata; Phrynosomatidae
Source: the annotation of a GenBank genome assembly